GCCGGAGUGGCGAAACAGGCAGACGCAAGGGACUUAAAAUCCCUCGGCCGCAAGGCCAUACCGGUUCGAUCCCGGUCUCCGGCACCA
This 87-nucleotide transfer RNA is filed under the name Leptospirillum ferriphilum. Its description in RNAcentral is "tRNA-Leu". It matches the Rfam family "tRNA". Rfam says of the family: Transfer RNA (tRNA) molecules are approximately 80 nucleotides in length. Their secondary structure includes four short double-helical elements and three loops (D, anti-codon, and T loops). Lineage: Bacteria; Pseudomonadati; Nitrospirota; Nitrospiria; Nitrospirales; Nitrospiraceae. RNAcentral also lists the same sequence under 2 other names. The record is from RNAcentral.